CCUUCACGUUUGUUGUUAUUAGGGCAUUUUCCACUCUUGAAGGAAUUGGCUAUUCACUCGAUCCAGAUUUUUCAUUCGUCAAGAUUGCUGCACCUUAUGCACAGGAGCUGUUAGAUCUCAAACAACAGCGG
Cynara cardunculus var. scolymus (artichoke) is the source of this 131-nucleotide long non-coding RNA. RefSeq lists it as uncharacterized. Lineage: Eukaryota; Viridiplantae; Streptophyta; Magnoliopsida; Asterales; Asteraceae. The transcript has 3 exons. The record is from RefSeq and is a predicted model, not a curated record.